This 548-nucleotide ribosomal RNA is filed under the name Klebsiella pneumoniae. RNAcentral describes it as "partial 23S ribosomal RNA". It matches the Rfam family "Bacterial large subunit ribosomal RNA", at positions 2297 to 2839 of the family's 2925-position model. Lineage: Bacteria; Pseudomonadati; Pseudomonadota; Gammaproteobacteria; Enterobacterales; Enterobacteriaceae. The record is from RNAcentral.
GUAACGGAGGAGCACGAAGGUUAGCUAAUCCUGGUCGGACAUCAGGAGGUUAGUGCAAUGGCAUAAGCUAGCUUGACUGCGAGCGUGACGGCGCGAGCAGGUGCGAAAGCAGGUCAUAGUGAUCCGGUGGUUCUGAAUGGAAGGGCCAUCGCUCAACGGAUAAAAGGUACUCCGGGGAUAACAGGCUGAUACCGCCCAAGAGUUCAUAUCGACGGCGGUGUUUGGCACCUCGAUGUCGGCUCAUCACAUCCUGGGGCUGAAGUAGGUCCCAAGGGUAUGGCUGUUCGCCAUUUAAAGUGGUACGCGAGCUGGGUUUAGAACGUCGUGAGACAGUUCGGUCCCUAUCUGCCGUGGGCGCUGGAGAAUUGAGGGGGGCUGCUCCUAGUACGAGAGGACCGGAGUGGACGCAUCACUGGUGUUCGGGUUGUCAUGCCAAUGGCACUGCCCGGUAGCUAAAUGCGGAAGAGAUAAGUGCUGAAAGCAUCUAAGCACGAAACUUGCCCCGAGAUGAGUUCUCCCUGAGACUUUAAGUCUCCUGAAGGAACGUU